RNAcentral lists this ribosomal RNA (301 nucleotides) under uncultured bacterium. RNAcentral describes it as "partial 16S ribosomal RNA". It matches the Rfam family "Bacterial small subunit ribosomal RNA", at positions 509 to 808 of the family's 1533-position model. The record is from RNAcentral.
CAGCCGCCACGGUAAUACGUAGGUCCCGAGCGUUGUCCGGAUUUAUUGGGCGUAAAGCGAGCGCAGGCGGUUUGAUAAGUCUGAAGUUAAAGGCUGUGGCUCAACCAUAGUUCGCUUUGGAAACUGUCAAACUUGAGUGCAGAAGGGGAGAGUGGAAUUCCAUGUGUAGCGGUGAAAUGCGUAGAUAUAUGGAGGAACACCGGUGGCGAAAGCGGCUCUCUGGUCUGUAACUGACGCUGAGGCUCGAAAGCGUGGGGAGCGAACAGGAUUAGAUACCCGUGUAGUCCCUGUCUCUUAUACA